AGAAGAGUAAGUCAAGAGAU
This 20-nucleotide small nuclear RNA is filed under the name Arabidopsis thaliana (thale cress). RNAcentral describes it as "snRNA_14522". Lineage: Eukaryota; Viridiplantae; Streptophyta; Magnoliopsida; Brassicales; Brassicaceae. The record is from RNAcentral.